AGGCUAGUGACCGAUACAUCCACCUAUAACCACGUGAAAAAAUUUUUAAUUUUUAUUCAACAUCUCGGCUGCUUAAUAAAAAAAGACGGUGUACAAAUAAAUUCAAUCACAAUAGUUUGCGAUUAAGACCCCUCUCAUCAACCAUAUAUUAUUGAUCAUGGCAACAUUAAAAUUGUUUGGAAUUCACUUUCUUUAAUGCUUCUUGAGUAUCAAUAAUCUCCCUAAAUGCUUGUGUAUAAACCCAACCAAACUCAAAUGGGAAAAUGAAUAGCAUGAACAUUUUUGAGCUCUUCAAUCUCAACCUCCCCCUCGUGUAUACUAAAAACACAAAAGUUG
This 336-nucleotide unclassified non-coding RNA is filed under the name Hevea brasiliensis (rubber tree). The record is from RNAcentral. Lineage: Eukaryota; Viridiplantae; Streptophyta; Magnoliopsida; Malpighiales; Euphorbiaceae.